CCUACGGGAGGCAGCAGUGGGGAAUAUUGCGCAAUGGGCGAAAGCCUGACGCAGCGACGCCGCGUGAGGGAUGAAGGUCUUCGGAUCGUAAACCUCUGUCAGCAGGGAAGAACGGUCACUGUGCUAAUCAGCAGUGAAUUGACGGUACCUGCAAAGGAAGCACCGGCUAACUCCGUGCCAGCAGCCGCGGUAAUACGGAGGGUGCGAGCGUUAAUCGGAAUUAUUGGGUUUAAAGGGUGCGUAGGCUGUGAGGUAAGUCAGCGGUGAAAUGCCCCCGCUCAACGGGGUGAAGUGCCAUUGAUACUGCCUUGCUGGAAUGCGGAUGCCGUGGGAGGAAUGUGUGGUGUAGCGGUGAAAUGCAUAGAUAUCACACAGAACACCGAUUGCGAAGGCAUCUCACGAAUCCGCGAUUGACGCUGAUGCACGAAGGCCAGGGGAGCGAAAGGGAUUAGAUACCCCGGUAGUC
This 466-nucleotide ribosomal RNA is filed under the name uncultured bacterium. RNAcentral's name for it is "partial 16S ribosomal RNA". It matches the Rfam family "Bacterial small subunit ribosomal RNA", at positions 338 to 795 of the family's 1533-position model. The record is from RNAcentral.